Molecule: ribosomal RNA, 497 nt
Filed under: uncultured bacterium
Lineage: Bacteria
Description: partial 16S ribosomal RNA
Rfam family: Bacterial small subunit ribosomal RNA
Source: RNAcentral
GAUGAACGCUGGCGGCGUGCCUAAUACAUGCAAGUCGAGCGAACGGACGAGAAGCUUGCUUCUCUGAUUUUAGCGGCGGACGGGUGAGUAACACGUGGAUAACCUACCUAUAAGACUGGUAUAACUUCGGGAAACCGGAGCUAAUACCGGAUAAUAUUUUGAACCGCAUGGUUCAAAAGUGAAAGACGGUCUUGCUGUCACUUAUAGAUGGAUCCGCGCUGCAUUAGCUAGUUGGUAAGGUAACGGCUUACCAAGGCAACGAUGCAUAGCCGACCUGAGAGGGUGAUCGGCCACACUGGAACGGAGACACGGUCCAGACUCCUACGGGAGGCAGCAGUAGGGAAUCUUCCGCAAUGGGCGAAAGCCUGACGGAGCAACGCCGCGUGAGUGAUGAAGGUCUUCGGAUCGUAAAACUCUGUUAUUAGGGAAGAACAGAUGUGUAAGUAAAUGUGCACAUCUUGACGGUACCUAAUCAGAAAGCCACGGCUAACUACGUG